AGAAGGGAGACACGCAGCCCGCGACCUUGUCAGAGCCCCGAGGAGACUGUGAAUAAUUCCCUUUGAGCCGCAGGAAGAAGGUUUCCUAUUGCCGGGUGGUGGAGGUGCGGUGGGGGGGAGACUUAAGGAAAAUGAUGUGUUACCGGUCUGGAGUUCAAGAGAAAAAAAAAAAAUCAGACAAAGGUGGACCAACGUGAUGGAUCGGCCGCAGAAAACCCACUCUGGUCCCCAAGUUUGUAAAGACCAUUUUUUUCCCCACUUCACAUCCAUCGAAAACAGAGAAACGUAAAGAAUGGGUUGUUUUCAUGGCUGAAGCAUGUUAUCAGUAUUCUGCCUCGGAUUUCUGCUUGUUUUUUUGGGCUCAUUUUUGUACAUGUAACACUUUUCUGCUGAAUGGAUGCAACUGUAUUUGAGACAUUGCACAGUAUUUUCACUGUUGAAACAAUAACGCUGCCACAUCUGUCUUAAAGUACAAGACAAAUUGAACAUACCAUAUCCUUUCAAUCUAAAGCAUUAUUCAUCACUUGGAGGCAGAGCCUAAAACUGCUAAGCAUGAAGUAGCAGACAUGAGAAAUUAUAUUCCUGUCCUCUCAAAUAUAUUUCACUUGGCAUACUGUGAGCAAAGCUCUCCAAGUGGUGUCAACGCCAAGUAGCAAAGCUGUAGAAAUGACCUCAAAGAUACUGCUUAAGAAAAACGAUGCCAUCUAAGAGCUGAUAAGAGCUACAAGCAUUGGAAUGGAUCAAUCGUGCAAAAGGAAGAGCACUCAGUCAUGGGUACUGUUUAAUUAAUGAUGGUGGCUAGAGAUAGGCUGUUCACUCCAUAUUGUCAGUCAGACACUGACUGCACAGGGUGGCAAUAUGAGCUUUGUAACUGAUACACGAAACAGAAGGAACUAAUCCAUACUCUCCAGUCGAGUACCAUUAAUGUUUUGUAAAGAGGGCUGCUGCAUGACACGUGCAAUUUUUUAAUUUCCUCUGAAUUCAAAAGACCCAGAGUUAAUGAAUACAUUUUAAUGAAUUCCAGAAAGAUUUUUCGAGCUCCUUUGGAUUGUGAAAAAAUUGUUUGUUAUCUUGUCCGCUGUUGUUUUAUUUCAUUGACAG
Gasterosteus aculeatus aculeatus (three-spined stickleback) is the source of this 1101-nucleotide long non-coding RNA. The record is from Ensembl. NCBI's taxonomy places the organism in Eukaryota, Metazoa, Chordata, Actinopteri, Perciformes, Gasterosteidae.